GAUGAACGCUGGCGGCGUGCUUAACACAUGCAAGUCGAACGAUGAAGCCCAGCUUGCUGGGUGGAUUAGUGGCGAACGGGUGAGUAACACGUGAGUAACCUGCCCUUAACUCUGGGAUAAGCCUGGGCAACUGGGACUAAUACCGGAUAGGAGCUUCCACCGCAGGGUGGGUGUUGGAAAGAUUUAUCGGUUUUGGAUGUACUCGCGGCCUAUCAGCUUUUUGGUGAGGUAAUGGCUAACCAAGGCGACGACGGGUAGCCGGCCUGAGUGGGUGAGCGGCCACACUGGGACUGAGAGACGGCCCAGACUCCUACGGGAGGCAGCAGUGGGGAAUAUUGCACAAUGGGCGCAAGCCUGAUGCAGCGACGCCGCGUGAGGGAUGACGGCCUUCGGGUUGUAAACCUCUUUCAGUAGGAAAGAAGCGAAAGUGACGGUACCUGCAGAAGAAGCACCGGCUAACUACGUG
Molecule: ribosomal RNA, 466 nt
Filed under: uncultured bacterium
Lineage: Bacteria
Description: partial 16S ribosomal RNA
Rfam family: Bacterial small subunit ribosomal RNA
Source: RNAcentral